Molecule: long non-coding RNA, 488 nt
Filed under: Elaeis guineensis (African oil palm)
Lineage: Eukaryota; Viridiplantae; Streptophyta; Magnoliopsida; Arecales; Arecaceae
Description: long non-coding RNA (EGUI_LNC050715)
Source: RNAcentral
UUCCUCCCCCCCCCCUCUUUGUCUUCCUUCUUCUUUUCCUCUCUUCUUUCUCUUCCCAUAAGUCUUGCUCCAUUGAAGAAUGAAGUAUCCAACCGAUUUGUAGGAUUCCAACGCAUCGACUUGCAGGAUUCCAACAUAUCAACUCUUCUUCCCAAUGCCUACAUCCUCCCUACGCCAUCAUCUAUCAUUCAUGAAUCUAUUUUCUGCAACUAUAUUCCCAUCAUCCUUUGAUAAGAUCUACUCUUUUGAGGAUUAUUGAUUUUAUAAUUCAUUAUUACAGGCAAUUCUUCACAUGCUCGAAUCGAAUUUCUUUAUUUUUUGGAUAACAAAAAGAAUUACCAACAACCGUGGCCUGAUUCAACAUCCGAAUCCUCCCUUAUCUAGAAGUCUUCAUCGACGUGUUUAUGAGAUCUCUUGCUUCUAAAUGAAUCUUUGAGUAGAUCAUUAUUGUAGAAAGUUAAUUCUAUAUUUUUUUAUUAAUUAAAUCU